CCUCUUCAUUUGCAAAAACGAAAAAUUGAGAAACCUCACCACCACCAUCUUCAUCGUCGCCACCACCCCCACUCCAGUACCACCUCUAGUUUCGCCACCACCUCCACCAAUCCCACGACCAUUUUCAGACCUCCUCUUAUAUUUCCAUCAAAUCCAUCACAAGCAGCAACACCACCACCUCCUAAACAAUCGGUUUGGAUCGAUUUUUACCUGAUUCAACUUCAGAACUCAAAUCUAGUGAUCGACCAACGAGAAACUAAUCUCCGAAACCUAAUCCUGAGCAUCGAAAACGUUAGAUUCGUUUCGAUUUUGCAACUGGAUUGUACAUGAUUGCAUUUUCAAACCCUAAUUUUGGAUUCAUUUUUCUUCGGAUCGAUAAUUCAUUCAGUUUUUGAAUCAAGAAGCUGAUUAUUGUUUAUGAACGGUGGUUGUGGUGAUUUCACCCUGCUGCGAAAAAUGAAGGGUAUACAUCCAGCAAAAUUGAUUUCACCCUGAUCGGUAUACUCUCUCUCUUGAUGUCGCAUGUGGUUCAUCAAUGGUUAGCAGGUGCAUUCAGUUUUAAGUAAUUGUAUGUCAUCUUUUUAUCUUUAUUUUUUAAUAAAUAAUAAUGUCAUGUUGUUGGUGUGUAAACUUCCGACAUAUUAUUUUACAUACAGUUGUGUGCUAAAAUUUAUAUCUAGGUAUGUGAAACUUGUAGGUGCUUGUUAACAGGCAGCCACAUAACCUCUCAUGUAGGCUCUUUCAGCAUGAGUUUUAACUGACUUGUUCAUGGGAAUAUAUAUAACUCGCUGAAAGCAUUGAGUUCUUUUUGUUUUAAUGAAAUGUUUACA
Molecule: long non-coding RNA, 830 nt
Organism: Papaver somniferum (opium poppy)
Lineage: Eukaryota; Viridiplantae; Streptophyta; Magnoliopsida; Ranunculales; Papaveraceae
Exons: 3
Source: RefSeq, a predicted model, not a curated record